This 399-nucleotide ribosomal RNA is filed under the name uncultured bacterium. RNAcentral describes it as "partial 16S ribosomal RNA". It matches the Rfam family "Bacterial small subunit ribosomal RNA", at positions 338 to 754 of the family's 1533-position model. The record is from RNAcentral.
CCUACGGGUGGCAGCAGUGGGGAAUAUUGCACAAUGGGGGAAACCCUGAUGCAGCGACGCCGCGUGAGUGAAGAAGGAAUUCGGGAUGUAAAGCUCUAUCAGCAGGGAAGAAAAUGACGGUACCUGAGUAAGAAGCCCCGGCUAACUAAGUGCCAGCAGCCGCGGUAAGACGUCGGGGGCAAGCGUUAUCCGGAUUUACUGGGUGUAAAGGGAGCGUAGACGGCAGUGCAAGUCUGGAGUGAAAGGCGGGGGCUCAACCCCCGGACUGCUCUGGAAACUGUACGGCUGGAGGGCAGGAGAGGUAAGUGGACUUCCUAGUGUAGCGGUUAAAUGCGUAGAUAUUAGGCGGAACCCCAGUGGCGACGGCGGCUUACUGGACUGUACCUGCCGUUGCGGCUC